UAUUCCCUGCACUGUUGGUGAUCUUCAGUGUGUGUUGAGCCAACUGUUAAAAAAAAAGGGUACUUCCACUGACCAUGAAUGGAGAAUCGCAUCGACGAAUUUCCUGCAAUUUUCAAGAAGCUGCCCACCUAUGAAAAUAGGUUUAACUUUCCUGGUGACACGGCAGUGUGGGGAUUAU
RNAcentral lists this non-coding RNA (178 nucleotides) under Desulforhopalus singaporensis. Its description in RNAcentral is "6S / SsrS RNA". It matches the Rfam family "6S / SsrS RNA". Rfam says of the family: E. coli 6S RNA was the first non coding RNA to be sequenced, but its function was unknown until recently. It consists of 184 nucleotides that fold into an extended hairpin structure with a large single-stranded internal bulge. The record is from Rfam by way of RNAcentral. Lineage: Bacteria; Pseudomonadati; Thermodesulfobacteriota; Desulfobulbia; Desulfobulbales; Desulfocapsaceae.